This is a non-coding RNA of Glycine soja, 83 nucleotides long. Lineage: Eukaryota; Viridiplantae; Streptophyta; Magnoliopsida; Fabales; Fabaceae. The record is from Rfam.
UGCUGUGGAUGAUGAGAUUGACAAUUUUACAGUUAUCCCUGGCUGAUGUAGCAGGUGCUGAAAAUUUGUAAUCUGACACGCAC